RNAcentral lists this ribosomal RNA (380 nucleotides) under uncultured organism. Its description in RNAcentral is "partial 16S ribosomal RNA". It matches the Rfam family "Bacterial small subunit ribosomal RNA", at positions 527 to 896 of the family's 1533-position model. The record is from RNAcentral.
GUAGGUGGCAAGCGUUGUCCGGAAUUAUUGGGCGUAAAGCGCGCGCAGGCGGGGGUUCUUUUAAGUCUGAUGUGAAAGCCCACGGGCUCAACCGUGGAGGGUCAUUGGAAACUGGAGAACUUGAGUACAGAAGAGGAAAGCGGAAUUCCACGUGUAGCGGUGAAAUGCGUAGAGAUGUGGAGGAACACCAGUGGCGAAGGCGGCUUUCUGGUCUGUAACUGACGCUGAGGCGCGAAAGCGUGGGGAGCAAACAGGAUUAGAUACCCUGGUAGUCCACGCCGUAAACGAUGAGUGCUAAGUGGUUAGGGGGGUUUCCCGCCCCUUAGUGCUGCAGCUAACGCAUUAAGCACUCCGCCGUGGGGAGUACGACCGCAAGGUUG